GGAAAAACGGGCGGAGGUAGCGAGGGUAAGACUGAGGGUCCAAGCGUUAGCAGGAAUGAUUGGGUGUAAAGGGGCCGUAGGCGGCCUUAUAAGUAAGUGGGGAAAGCCCAUCGCUUAACGAUGGAACGGCCAUUGAUACUGUAGGGCUUGAAUGUUUGUGAAGUAACUAGAAUAUGUAGUGUAGCGGUGAAAUGCUUAGAUAUUACAUGGAAUACCAAUUGCGAAGGCAGGUUACUAACAAACAAUUGACGCUGAUGGACGAAAGCGUGGGGAGCGAACAGGAUUAGAUACCCGGUAGUC
RNAcentral lists this ribosomal RNA (300 nucleotides) under uncultured Halobellus sp. Its description in RNAcentral is "bacterial SSU rRNA". It matches the Rfam family "Bacterial small subunit ribosomal RNA", at positions 495 to 795 of the family's 1533-position model. Lineage: Archaea; Methanobacteriati; Methanobacteriota; Halobacteria; Halobacteriales; Haloferacaceae. The record is from RNAcentral.